CUUCCGAGGAGACGCUCACGAGAAGCCUUUGUGACCCCGCAAGGGGUGCCCGCCGCGACUGUAAAGAAGUAAAUGCCGGGCAUUAAAUCGCAAGUCGGCCCGCAGCAGGGCCGGCCACACUUUCGAACUGCGGGGACACCCUAAAGCCGGCCCCUACCAAACCGACCGGGAAACCGAGUCGGCGGCCGCUGUUAACCGCAGCGGGUACGGUAAGAACGGGGCCGGAUGGACAACAAUGGGCCAUCCGCAGCCGAGUCCCUAAGGCCUCCGCGGCACGGGAAAGGUUCACAGACUAGGUGGAAGUGGGCCGUCGGCGCAAGAAGCGCCUUCGGCUUAAGAUAUAGUCGGGCUCCGCGGGAAACCGAGGAGGAGUCGCUCGAGAAUAGAGUAACGCGCAAACGUUCCGUAGGUGAACCUGCGGAAGGAUCAUUAAAAAGGUCUCUGACCAAAACCCUUUGGUCCGGUCCGCCGGCCAGAGUUCAACCACAGUGGUACACCUUUUUUGCUUCGGCAGCAGGUCGUUGACGCGAGUCACCGGCCGUGAGCCUGCCGGCGGCGCCAAAUCAAACCUGUUUUGAAAACCAGUCUGAACUAAUGAUUUCUUGAAUGAAAAUCAAAACUUUCAACAACGGAUCUCUUGGUUCUCGCAUCGAUGAAGAACGCAGCGAAACGCGAUAGUUAAUGUGAAUUGCAGAAUUCAGUGAAUCAUCGAGUCUUUGAACGCACAUUGCGCCCCUCGGUAUUCCGGCGGGCAUGUCUGUUUGAGCGUCAUUACGAACCCCCUCGGCCGGUCGCUUUUCAGUCGUCUGGCCGGUGCUGAGCCCGCCCGACCGCCUCUCCGGAGGCGCGGCCGGCUUUAAACCGGACGCUACGCGAGCGGUCUGACCGAAAGAACAUAGUAGAUUCGUUUCCGCUGUUCCUCCAGGUCGCGGCCCGCUUCGCCUGAACAAAACCGAUCACAAGGUUUGACCUCAGAUCAGACAAGGAUACCCGCUGAACUUAAGCAUAUCAAUAAGCGGAGGAAAAGAAACCAACCGGGAUUGCCUCAGUAACGGCGAGUGAAGCGGCAAGAGCUCAAAUUUGAAAUCUGGGACCUUCGGUCUCCGAGUUGUAAUUUGAAGAGGAUGCCUCGGUUGCAGCCCCGGCCUAAGUUCCUUGGAACAGGACGUCGCAGAGGGUGAGAAUCCCGUACGCGGCCGCGGGCUUGCUUCCACGUGUGGCUCCCUCGAAGAGUCGAGUUGUUUGGGAAUGCAGCUCAAAAUGGGUGGUAAGUUUCAUCUAAGGCUAAAUACUGGCGAGAGACCGAUAGCGCACAAGUAGAGUGAUCGAAAGAUGAAAAGCACUUUGAAAAGAGAGUUAAACAGUACGUGAAAUUGUUGAAAGGGAAGCGCUUGCGAUCAGACUCGCGCGCGGUUGAUCAACGUUCCUUCUGGUUCGUGCACUCUGCCGCGCUGCGGGCCAGCGUCGGUCGGGACGGCGGGACAAAGGCUCCGGGAAUGUGGCUCCCCUCGGGGAGUGUUAUAGCCCGGCGCGCAAUGCCGCCAGCCCCGACCGAGGUCCGCGGUUUUACCUAGGACGCUGGCUUAAUGGUCGUAAGCGACCCGUCUUGAAACACGGACCAAGGAGUCUAACAUCCACGCGAGUGUUUGGGCGUCAAACCCAUGCGCGCAAUGAAAGUGAACGGAGGUGGGAGCCCUCGGGCGCACCAUCGACCGAUCCUGAUGUCCUCGGAUGGAUUUGAGUAGGAGCGUGGCUGUUGGGACCCGAAAGAUGGUGAACUAUGCCUGAAUAGGGUGAAGCCAGAGGAAACUCUGGUGGAGGCUCGCAGCGGUUCUGACGUGCAAAUCGAUCGUCAAAUUUGGGUAUAGGGGCGAAAGACUAAUCGAACCAUCUAGUAGCUGGUUCCUGCCGAAGUUUCCCUCAGG
Molecule: ribosomal RNA, 1925 nt
Filed under: Orbilia vinosa
Lineage: Eukaryota; Fungi; Ascomycota; Orbiliomycetes; Orbiliales; Orbiliaceae
Description: eukaryotic LSU rRNA
Rfam family: Eukaryotic large subunit ribosomal RNA (bases 967-1925)
Source: RNAcentral